GAAGUAGUUAGCCUAACCGUAAGGGGGGCGAUUACCACGGUAGGAUUCAUGACUGGGGUGAAGUCGUAACAAGGUAGCCGUAUCGGAAGGUGCGGCUGGAUCACCUCCUUUCAGA
Molecule: ribosomal RNA, 115 nt
Filed under: Achromobacter insolitus
Lineage: Bacteria; Pseudomonadati; Pseudomonadota; Betaproteobacteria; Burkholderiales; Alcaligenaceae
Description: partial 16S ribosomal RNA
Rfam family: Bacterial small subunit ribosomal RNA
Source: RNAcentral